Molecule: ribosomal RNA, 362 nt
Filed under: Cotesia marginiventris
Lineage: Eukaryota; Metazoa; Arthropoda; Insecta; Hymenoptera; Braconidae
Description: partial 16S ribosomal RNA
Source: RNAcentral
CUGCUCAAUGAAUAAUUUUAAAUAGCUGCAGUAUAAAUAACUGUACAAAGGUAGCAUAAUAAUUUGUUUUUUAAUUGAAAACUAGAAUGAAUGAUUUAAUGAAAUAUAAACUGUAUCAAAUUUAAAAAAUAAAUUUAUUAUUUAAAUAAAAAAAUUUAAAUAAUUUUUAAAGACGAGAAGACCCUAAAGAAUUUUAAUAAUUAAUUAUAAUAUAUAAAAUAUUAUUUAAUUAUUUUAAUUGGGGAAAUUUUAAAAUUUUAAAAAUUUUUAAUUAAAAUAACAUAAAUUUUUGAAUAUAUAAUAUUUUUUAAAAAAAUAAAUAAAAAUUACCUUAGGGAUAACAGCAUAAUUUUUUUAAAAAG